This is a non-coding RNA of Ciona intestinalis (vase tunicate), 820 nucleotides long. The record is from RefSeq and is a predicted model, not a curated record. Lineage: Eukaryota; Metazoa; Chordata; Ascidiacea; Phlebobranchia; Cionidae.
CCACUAUAGCACAUAAACACUCUAUCCUUGUUUACAGCGAGCCUUACAAACCAUUCACAUGGAACAGCUUAGCACCAUACUACAACACAGACACCCUGCGUUACAUUAUAAAGAUGCCGGUCAACGUACGUAGAGGUUACAACAGCCGAGCUACUGCAUGUGGACUUGUUGAUCCAGAGGUAUCAUGGAAAAUGGACCAUUGCCUCACACCGUACACCCCAUCAAGACCAGAGUUAUUCCGUCAUCACUAUAGUCGACGCAGGACAAAAUCCGCAGCACCGCGUUUGAUUACCACCGACCCGACAAUGGUGAACCCUCGUUUUCCACGCGUGCCAUUAGCGUACAGUGUGGGAGCCUCUGGGAAAAGUUCUCCAAGGCCACCAUCAAGAAAGCAAGCUCAAACUGUCCAUUAAACUAUUGGUUUAAUGAUCAAAUUAUUGCACUUAUUCUAUAACUACAUAUGCGUAGUUGACUGUGUAUUAUGUUCAUUAUCAGCGCUUCAUAUAUAGCUUUUAUACCGUUUUGAACCUUAUAUAUAAAGUAUUGUAUUUUAUGGCUAACUGAAAUUAUUAUAUAGUAGGGUGGGGGAGAAUGGGACACCUUUUCGUUCUAUUUUCUCGUACCAUUUGGUAGUAAACAAAGAGAAUUCAAAGAAUUACAAAAUUUACCCUCACGACUUUCAUAGACCGUUGUUAAUUGUUUAAAACAUGACAUUUGAAUAUUAUGUGCUAAAGCCAAAAGGAAAGGUGUCCCGUCUUCCCCCACAAUACUCUAUUGUUUUUCUGAAUUCAGUGAACGAAAAUAAAUUGCUCUUCAAAAA